AUACGGAGGGUGCAAGCGUUACUCGGAAUUACUGGGCGUAAAGCGCACGUAGGCGGCUUGUUAAGUCAGAUGUGAAAGCCCCGGGCUCAACCUGGGAACUGCAUUUGAUACUGGCAGGCUAGAGUAUGGUAGAGGCAAGUGGAAUUCCGGGUGUAGCGGUGAAAUGCGUAGAUAUCCGGGGGAACACCAGUGGCGAAGGCGACUUGCUGGACCAAUACUGACGCUGAGGUGCGAAAGCGUGGGGAGCAAACAGGAUUAGAAACCCGUGUAGUCC
RNAcentral lists this ribosomal RNA (274 nucleotides) under uncultured bacterium. RNAcentral describes it as "partial 16S ribosomal RNA". It matches the Rfam family "Bacterial small subunit ribosomal RNA", at positions 523 to 796 of the family's 1533-position model. The record is from RNAcentral.